Molecule: long non-coding RNA, 1761 nt
Organism: Megalobrama amblycephala (Wuchang bream)
Lineage: Eukaryota; Metazoa; Chordata; Actinopteri; Cypriniformes; Xenocyprididae
Exons: 3
Source: RefSeq, a predicted model, not a curated record
AAUAACUUUGUCCUGCAAUCAAAGAUGAUGCACGGGUGGAAAAUGCGUCAUAUACUGACGGCUCCGUAUGCGCAACGGAGUAUGCGUCACUUACGCCAAAACUGUAUUCACUACGACUUGUGUAACACGUCAUUUUCAUAUGUAGAAUAAUUACUACAAACCCUUAACUGAUUGAGAAAACAGCAGCAGAUAAUACAGAAAAAAACAUAAUAUAAAGAAUUCACAACACGACUGUAAAAUGGAGGGAGACGACUGCUGCGCCGCUGACGGACAGAACGAGCAGACCUCCUCCCUCGUGCGCGCGAGCUCUCUCAAAAGUUAACCCAAUCCCUCCGAAAACAAUUUUCCCUGGCUUGGCUUGAUUGCUUCAGUGGGAUGAUUGAUGACACAAGAGUGAUGAAGGAAGUUGACAUAUUGCUGUCUGCCGGAGAUGUCAUGGGGGCACGCAUGGGCAAAAUCCUACAGAGCCCCUAAAGUUACAUGGUGGUGAAAAAAAAAUAUGAGAUGGGAGGAAAAAUAAGUCAACGCAUUUGCGUUCUCUCACAAAUGAUUUGUGUUUAGAGAAACUUUGCGCUCUCUUGCAUAACCUUUGGGUUCCCCAAGAAAAGUUUUUGCGAGGGAACGCAAAAGCAUUGACAAAUAAUUUUUCCUCUAUCUCAUUUUUUUUUUCUUUUAGGGGCUCUGUAAAAUUCAGUCAUUCCAGUUGGAAUCCAUGAGAUCUCCCUAUGCAAAUGCAACGAGUUUGAGUUGGUCACGCGGAUUUGCUGCAUUUACCAAUAAAAUUAGCUUGGUUUGAAAGUGGCUUUUGUGUGAGCUGCUUCAUUCAUCUGUCGGAAUUUGGCUACAGUGACCACACCUUAAUAAUAGUUCAAACGAGUAAAAGAAACAAAUACCUGCUCUAAAAAGGUUGGAAGGGAUGAUUUUUUACACUUUGAAGAAAUUGAAAGUUUUAAUGUGAUCUUUCAUUAGAGUGAGGUUGCUGCAAUACAUUGAAACUGACUGAUUUCCAAAGGGCAACCCAGGGGUUUUGAUCUCCUUUUAAGGCAUUGUCAUUCCGAGUUCUAACAUUAUAGCAAGAUGGAGAAGAAACAUUUAAUUUUUAUUUUAGGUUGACUCCAAAAUGUUUGACUCACUGUGCCUUCAAAGGAUUGCAGAUUUUUUUUCCCCUCAUGUUCCAUCCCCUGGGUAUGUUUUUAUCAGGUACAUACCUUCAUGAAGUCAAGGACAAAUAGCAGAAUGGCUCUUGAAAUGGAGCGGCAAAAACUUCAAAGAGGACUGUCAAAAAAAUCGAUUGGGAAUGGAGGCACAAAACACGAUGGAGAAGUGUAAUUGAUCUCAUUAUUAUGGAAGCGCGGCAGUUUACUCUUCUUUUGAGGGAGGAAAAAAGAGAAUAAUUUCUCUCCUCUCUACUCAACUGUACAUUAUGCGGCUGCUAUGAGAGUGUGCAGGUGGGGUUUGGCCCAUUUCAGAUGUUUUAUUUUCAGUUAGAAUAUCAUGGUAAAAUGGAAAAUUAACUUUUAUGUAAAAAGAUCAUCUUGAUCUUGAAAUAAAGAGUCUUGUUUGUGUUGCCGUGCACAAGGCCAGGACCCGACAGAAACUGCAGACAUCUUUUGAAUUUUCUAUGGGUAAAUCUGUGGAAGUUCAUAAUGUGGAAGAUGCCAUCCUUAAGAUCAGCGUGCAUUUACUGCUGAAUUGUAACAAGAUGCAUUUAGUUUAUAAUUUACAUUUAGCAUCUUAAGAUUAUUUAAAUGUAAUGGGGGA